GACGAACGCUGGCGGCGUGCCUAAUACAUGCAAGUCGAGCGGACUGACUGGGAGCUUGCUCUUGUUCGGUCAGCGGCGGACGGGUGAGUAACACGUGGGCAACCUGCCCGCAAGACCGGGAUAACUCCGGGAAACCGGAGCUAAUACCGGAUAACACCGAAGACCGCAUGGUCUUUGGUUGAAAGGCGGCGCAAGCUGCCACUUGCGGAUGGGCCCGCGGCGCAUUAGCUAGUUGGUGAGGUAACGGCUCACCAAGGCGACGAUGCGUAGCCGGCCGGGGAGGGGGACCGGCCCCACUGGGACGGAGACACGGCCCAGACUCCUACGGGAGGCAGCAGUAGGGAAUCUUCCGCAAUGGGCGAAAGCCUGACGGAGCGACGCCGCGUGAGCGAAGAAGGCCUUCGGGUCGUAAAGCUCUGUUGUGAGGGACGAAGGAGCGCCGUUUGAAGAAGGCGGCGCGGUGACGGUACCUCACGAGGAAGCCCCGGCUAACUACGUG
Molecule: ribosomal RNA, 499 nt
Filed under: uncultured bacterium
Lineage: Bacteria
Description: partial 16S ribosomal RNA
Rfam family: Bacterial small subunit ribosomal RNA
Source: RNAcentral